Molecule: ribosomal RNA, 484 nt
Filed under: uncultured bacterium
Lineage: Bacteria
Description: partial 16S ribosomal RNA
Rfam family: Bacterial small subunit ribosomal RNA
Source: RNAcentral
AUUGAACGCUGGCGGCAGGCCUAACACAUGCAAGUCGAGCGGAUGAAGGGAGCUUGCUCCUGGAUUCAGCGGCGGACGGGCGAGUAAUGCCUAGGAAUCUGCCUGGUAGUGGGGGAUAACGUCCGGACACGGGCGCUAAUACCGCAUACGUCCUGAGGGUGAAAGUGGGGGAUCUUCGGACCUCACGCUAUCAGAUGAGCCUAGGUCGGAUUAGCUAGUUGGUGGGGUAAAGGCCUACCAAGGCGACGAUCCGUAACUGGUCUGAGAGGAUGAUCAGUCACACUGGAACUGAGACACGGUCCAGACUCCUACGGGAGGCAGCAGUGGGGAAUAUUGGACAAUGGGCGAAAGCCUGAUCCAGCCAUGCCGCGUGUGUGAAGAAGGUCUUCGGAUUGUAAAGCACUUUAAGUUGGGAAGAAGGGCAGUAAGUUAAUACCUUGCUGUUUUGACGUUACCAACAGAAUAAGCACCGGCUAACUUCGUG